Molecule: long non-coding RNA, 824 nt
Organism: Mauremys reevesii (Reeves's turtle)
Lineage: Eukaryota; Metazoa; Chordata; Testudines; Geoemydidae
Exons: 2
Source: RefSeq, a predicted model, not a curated record
CUGGCUUUGGCCUUUUCCUGCCUUCUUGGAUUCCAGGUAACCUGGCUUGGCCCCUCUCCGUUCUGAUUUCUGGUUCUGGCUUGGCCUUAACCCUCAGCCUUGUUUCCCUGCCCUGGAUGCCUGCUCUGACCACUAGAGAGGCUGAAUCUGGCCCUCACCUUACCACCUAUUUGGGUGGCAUCCUAGCCUGGUGCGGUGGGCAGGGUGCUGAAUUUGAAGUCAAGAGACCUGCUUUCUAAUCUCAGGCUGUUCUGGGCAAAUGACUAUCCCCAUCUGUGAAAUGGAUGAUUCUAACCCUUAGAGGUAAAGCUGCUAUAUAUGAGCGAAGAAAGGUGUUAUGAAUGCAUCAUGCCACCCCGUAUCUUGCUUGUCUCUGGUUUCACCUCUCCCGCUGUGCAUCAUUGCAUUGUGUCAAUACCUCGCUGAUGUCCUGUGAUAGGAAAGAUGCUGUCUCCUGCUAGGAGUCCAGGACCAUGACAAAACCCAUCACAUGGGUGGAAAACUGCCCACCUUACAUGUGAGCCUCGAGCAUAAAGACAAUGCACUUGCCUUUUACCCAAAUUGGCUACAGGCUGGGGCGAUACAGCAAAACAUCUAAUAUUAACUACUGUCCCGGCAUGCAGCGUUAGGUCUCCUACCGCGUUUCAAUCCCUGGCUGGGGAGUGAGCCACUGUUUGCUAAAAGCAGACGGAGCUGCUUGAGAAUGACCUUGCACAGUUGUCUAGCUGGCAAAACCUGGGGGAUUAGUGAUGGGCAUUAGAGGUUCCUGGACAUAUUUAAUUUGCCUUUUUUAAAAUUAUUUGUUCAAAUGAAGCUAAAAUUAA